GACGAACGCUGGCGGCAUGCCUAACACAUGCAAGUCGAACGGUAAGGCUUCCUUCGGGAAGUACAUGAGUGGCGAACGGGGGAGUAACACGUGGGUAACCUACCCUUGACUGGGGGAUAACCGAGGGAAACUUCGGCUAAUACCGCAUAACGUGCAUUGCCUCAAGGUGGUGUACCAAAGCUCCGGCGGUUAAGGAUGGGCGCGCGGCGGUUUAGCUUGUUGGUGAGGUAACGGCUUCCCAAGGCGACGAUCUGUAGCUGGUCUGAGAGGACGAUCGGCGACACUGGGACUGAGACACGGUCCAUACUCUUCCGGGAGUCAGCAGUGGGGAAUCUGGCGCAAUGGGCGAAAGCCUGACGCAGCAAGGCCGCGUGAGGGAAGACGGCCUUAGGGUUGUAAACCUCUUUCAGCAGGGACGAACACAGGCGGUACCUGCAGAAGAAGCCCCGGCUAACUACGUGCCAGCAGCCGCCGUAA
This 477-nucleotide ribosomal RNA is filed under the name uncultured bacterium. Its description in RNAcentral is "partial 16S ribosomal RNA". It matches the Rfam family "Bacterial small subunit ribosomal RNA", at positions 28 to 523 of the family's 1533-position model. The record is from RNAcentral.